This 374-nucleotide ribosomal RNA is filed under the name uncultured bacterium. RNAcentral describes it as "bacterial SSU rRNA". It matches the Rfam family "Bacterial small subunit ribosomal RNA", at positions 524 to 898 of the family's 1533-position model. The record is from RNAcentral.
UACGGAGGGGGUUAGCGUUGUUCGGAAUUACUGGGCGUAAAGCGCGCGUAGGCGGAUUGGAAAGUUGGGGGUGAAAUCCCAGGGCUCAACCCUGGAACUGCCUCCAAAACUACCAGUCUAGAGUUCGAGAGAGGUGAGUGGAACUCCGAGUGUAGAGGUGAAAUUCGUAGAUAUUCGGAAGAACACCAGUGGCGAAGGCGGCUCACUGGCUCGAUACUGACGCUGAGGUGCGAAAGUGUGGGGAGCAAACAGGAUUAGAUACCCUGGUAGUCCACACCGUAAACGAUGAAUGCCAGUCGUCGGAUAGCAUGCUAUUCGGUGACACACCUAACGGAUUAAGCAUUCCGCCUGGGGAGUACGGUCGCAAGAUUAAA